This is a non-coding RNA of Meloidogyne enterolobii, 97 nucleotides long. The record is from the annotation of a GenBank genome assembly. NCBI's taxonomy places the organism in Eukaryota, Metazoa, Nematoda, Chromadorea, Rhabditida, Meloidogynidae.
UUCCCCGUAGCUCAGUGGCAGAGCUCGUGUAUUUGGUGAGCGAAAUCGCCUAGCAACUACAAGCAGGUGGUCGCAGGUUCGAAUCCUGCCCGGUCUC